CUUAUCGCGUUAGCUGCGCCACUAAAGCCUCAAAGGCCCCAACGGCUAGUAGACAUCGUUUACGGCAUGGACUACCAGGGUAUCUAAUCCUGUUUGCUCCCCAUGCUUUCGUACCUCAGCGUCAGUAUUAGGCCAGAUGGCUGCCUUCGCCAUCGGUAUUCCUCCAGAUCUCUACGCAUUUCACCGCUACACCUGGAAUUCUACCAUCCUCUCCCAUACUCUAGCUCUCCAGUAUCGAAUGCAAUUCCUAAGUUAAGCUCAGGGAUUUCACAUCCGACUUAAAAAGCCGCCUACGCACGCUUUACGCCCAGUAAAUCCGAUUAACGCUCGCACCCUCUGUAUUACCGCGGCUGCUGGCACAGAGUUAGCCGGUGCUUAUUCUGCGAGUAACGUCCACUCACUUUAGGUAUUAACUAAAGGAGCCUCCUCCUCGCUUAAAGUGCUUUACAACCAAAAGGCCUUCUUCACACACGCGGCAUGGCUGGAUCAGGCUUGCGCCCAUUGUCCAAUAUUCCCCACUGCUGCCUCCCGUAGGAGUCUGGGCCGUGUCUCAGUCCCAGUGUGGCGGAUCAUCCUCUCAGACCCGCUACAGAUCGUCGCCUUGGUAGGCCUUUACCCCACCAACUAGCUAAUCCGACUUAGGCUCAUCUAUUAGCGCAAGGUCCGAAGAUCCCCUGCUUUCCCCCGUAGGACGUAUGCGGUAUUAGCAUUCCUUUCGGAAUGUUGUCCCCCACUAAUAGGCAGAUUCCUAAGCAUUACUCACCCGUCCGCCGCUAGGUCAGGUAGCAAGCUACCUUUCCCCGCUCGACUUG
This 812-nucleotide ribosomal RNA is filed under the name uncultured Acinetobacter sp. Its description in RNAcentral is "partial 16S ribosomal RNA". The record is from RNAcentral. Lineage: Bacteria; Pseudomonadati; Pseudomonadota; Gammaproteobacteria; Moraxellales; Moraxellaceae.